This 253-nucleotide ribosomal RNA is filed under the name uncultured bacterium. Its description in RNAcentral is "partial 16S ribosomal RNA". It matches the Rfam family "Bacterial small subunit ribosomal RNA", at positions 524 to 776 of the family's 1533-position model. The record is from RNAcentral.
UACGUAGGUGACAAGCGUUGUCCGGAUUUACUGGGCGUAAAGAGCGCGCAGGCGGUCGAUCAAGUCGAGUGUGAAAGCCCCCGGCUCAACUGGGGAGGGUCACUCGAUACUGAUCGACUCGAAGGCAGAAGAGGGAAGCGGAAUUCCCGGUGUAGUGGUGAAAUGCGUAGAUAUUGGGAGGAACACCAGUGGCGAAGGCGGCUCACUGGACCGGAACUGACGCUGAGGCGCGAAAGCGUGGGGAGCAAACAGG